GGGUGGUGUUUGUAGCCUGAAUACACUUCCUAUCUUGCUUCUGCUUCUCUCAGCUAUUGGAUUCGAGCAGACUGUUAGUGCUGUGCCUUCCCCACCUCGAUGAACUAUAUACCCUCAAAUUGAGAGAUGAGCUAAAUUCUCCCUCCCCUAAAGUCCUUGUUGAAGGCAUUUUACCACAGUGACCAGAAAGUAGUCACAUAGGAAGCAGUUCCUCUUUUGCAUGCAUCCCCGUGUGUUUGUGCAGUUUGUACAAUCAGCACUAGAUCAAGGCAGAAUGUUCUCUUCCCAAUGUCCAGAACCCCACCCCAUACUCCUUCCUGCCUUGAUUUCUCACAGUGUCCAUUACUUUAAUUUCUUGUUGACUUCAAUAUCAAUACAAAGUAAAUGUCUUUUUCAUUUGCCCUCUUUGUUCAAUGUCGGAUCUAUGGAAUCUAUCUCUUGAUCUCAUAUGUAACUGUCAAUUAUACAUCCUCAUGGCUAUAUUCCAUACUGAGGACACAUGUCCACAACUCUAUAAUUGGCAUUUGGAUGUCUUCUGUUUCCAGCUACCAGUGAAUUGUGCUGUGAUCAACAGCCUUUUAUGUGUUUUGAGCAGGCAUGGUGGUACAUCCCAGUGAUCCCAGCACUUGGGAAGUAGAGGCUGGAGGAUCAGGAGUUCAAGGUCAAGGUUGGUUAUAGAGGUGAGUCCAGGUCAGCCCAAGCUACACAAGACCCUGUGAUGGUUACUUUGAUCAGUGACUUGGCACAAUGUACAGUCAUUUGAGAAGAGUGUCUCAGUGAGGAGUUGUCUGGUUCAGACUGGCCUGUGGACCUACCUACCUGUGAGAGAUAUUCUUAAAUGGGUUAAUUAAGGUAGAAAGACCCCACCCUGCAUGUGAAAGCUACCAUCUCAGUGCUUUGGCCUUAGACUGAAAGAAAAGCAGAGAGUAAGUUGAGGUCUCCAUACUGGACUCUGAGGUAAUAUGAUAAGUUUCCUCAAACUCCUGCUGUUAUGGCCUCCCCACCAGCAUGGAGGAACCUGGAACUAUGAGCAGAAUAAACCCAUACUCUCUUGAGUUGCUUUUAUCUGAGUAUUUUAUCACAGCAACAAGAAAGGAAAUAAGACAGACCUUGUCUUAAGAACAAAGUGUAAAACUGAAAUAUAUUUCAAUUGAACUGCUUAAACUCAUCUUAGGUUGUCCCCUGACCAAGUCCUGGUAGGUACCAGCAGGUCACCUUCCAUUUGACUGUUAUCAGGGGCAUUUGAGGACUGUGGCUGCUAUUUGGACUUUUUGUCAUUUGGGGCCUUAUUGAUGCUGAUUUCCCCCCUUUUCUGGUUCUGGUUCAGGGCAUAGUGGGGUCACUCUGCCGUUUAAACUUGUAAGAUUAGUCUUACUCUUAAGUAGGAAAUUUCCUAAUGUAUUGGCCACUCUGAUUCAGUUUUGUCAUCUGGAAGUCUAGAGGUGUGUGUCACUUUCCUUUCAGAUAAUCUGUCCCAUUUAUUUAUCUGGGUCUUUUAUAUAUUUGGCUGAGACUGUAUUCACAGACAUUUGUCCCAUAAAUAUCCUCACUUGAACUCUCCCUUGCUUUUGUGCUCAAGGGUUUAGUUGAUGAAUUCUGGCUUUUACUCUCAGUGUCCUUUAUUAGUUUUCUUGUUCACAGUUCGGACCUUAACUAUUGCUCAAGAUUCUUUGUUACCUUCAGAAUGACACAGAUAACCUCAUAAAUUGCUUUCUAUAUUUUUUCUACCUUUAGAUUUUAAAUCUAUCAGGAAAUGAUUUCUUGUGCAUCUAUUUGGUAAAAGCAAAGGGUGGUGAAAAUUUCCGCAUGUGACUAUUCAGUUGAUAGGUUUUAAAUUAAGUCUUUUAUUCACAGAACUGCUGUGCUGUUACCUCUCCGUGUGCUGUUUUCUUGCAUGAGUACUGUGUGCGGUAAUCACUGUCAGUAUCAAUAGUCUGUCAAUUACCAUAGCCUCAAAUCCUUACCCUUCUAAGCUGAUCAAGGUGCAUACCUGAAGUUCCUUUACCAGGGAGGCUGAGGCAGUAAGGCAGCUGCUCCUAACCUGUGGAUUCUGACCCCUUAGUGAGGCUGAAUGACCCCUUCACAGGGGUCCCAUACCAAAUAGCUUGCCUAUCAGGUGUUUACGUUACGAUUCAUGAGAGUAGAAAAAUUAUAGUUAUUAAGUAGUAGCAAAAAUGAUUUUAAGGUUGGGGGGGGGGGCACCACAACAUGAGAAACUGUAUUAGGGUCUUAGUAUUGGGAAGGUUGAGGACCACUGUAAUAAAGUCACCUGAGUUCAAGGAUUUGAGACUGGGAAGCAUAGAGAGAACCCCCCCCCCCCAUCCCAGUAUCACAAACAAAACCGAACAACCAAACAAGGCCCACCACACUCUUAGGAACAUGCAUAAUAAAGACAGCUGUUUACACAGAACUAUGAGCUAUUACUGGUCAAAGAUGGAAUAUUCUAUAUAUACGGCAGUAUACGUAUGGUAUGUAUGUAUGUGCAUAUAAGUUGCCAUAGCUUUAUAAUAGGUUGCUUCUGGUUUUGUUUGAAGCUGGCUCUCAUGUAGUCAGAUGAGUUUCAAACUCAUUAUGCAGCUGAAGAUGAUUUUAAACUCUUGAUCUCCCUACCUCCACCUUCCAAGUGCCAGGAUUAAAGGCAUGAGAUAUCACAUCCAGUGAAUAGAUCUUGAACUGUGAAUAGUAACUUAUAUUCUUCAAAAUUGCCUCAGCUACUCUUAUAGCCCAUCUCCCCAUACUCAUCUUUUUCACCUUCGUGAUUAGUUAUUAAAAAAAUAGCGGGUGUUGUUAUGACAUUUCAUCCAUGCACAUACAUUUUGAUCACCUUGAAUCCCCUAUUGUCAUGUCCCUCCUUCUCUUCCCUUCUAAGCCUUCCUUCUGAUUUCAUGUGUUAUCACUAUUAUUUUGUUUAUAAAGUUAAUAUUAUUAUGUGUGUUCAUACAUGUAAAUGAAAUUUGCUAAGCCUCUUUAGUGUUGCUUGCAUGUAGAUGUUUUUAGGUCUGGCCACCUGGAUCACCCGUUAGGAACUCAUCCCUGAGAAAGACUGGUUCUCCCUCUUGCAGCAGCCAUUAGCAAUCUCUCAGACUAUAGCUUGAGGGGCGGGCCUUGUGAGAUUGCUCUCAUCUGUGAUGGCAUGUCAAUCUGCGUUUUCCUUGUUCAGGUCCUGUUUAGCUGACCAACUGUUGACAUUUCAUGCGGGUAGCUUCCCUGAAAUAGAUUGAAGACACUAUCACCCAGGAUAUGUCCUGGUUGUCUGGCUCUUAUACCCACCCCCUUCCCCCACAUCUUCCACAAUGUUUCAUGAGCCCUGGGUAAAGGAGUUGUGUUGUAGAUGUAUCUAAUGGGACUGGGCACCUCAUGGUCUGUUCUCUGCAUUUUGACCAACUAUAGAUUUCUGUCAUGGUCUCCCUCUACAGCAUAAAGACACUUCUUUGAUGAAGGAUGAGAGCUACUCUUAGCAGUGGGUAUGAGGGUCUAUGUGGAUUUUAAGAUGAUGGACAACUCCAAGGAAAUGGUGUUUUUCAGACACAGCAGGAUGAUGGACAACAACAGUCAUGUAACCAGCACCUUGCGUUGGAGGUCAAGAGAUAUGCCUGCCAACCUCUGCCCUUCAUCAACCAGCUGCAGUGCCUUAGGAACAUCAUGGGAGCCCCGAGUCUUAUCUUUGUGUCCACAACACUACAGGUCAGGUCGAAGCACCCCUUCAUGUGCCACCAGUCAUGCUGAGAUUCCUUCACAGUGGUGACGGGGAGCCUGAUGGGUCAACAGGUCAUUAAGUAGAAGGAAAACUCGAACGGUCCUAUACAGUCUCGAGCUCUGCUAGAAUCAGCCCACUGAGUUAAAAGGCAUGAUGUUUUCAAGUUCAAGGUAUGUGAGAAGGGUGUGACUGUGUGUGAUGAUGAACAGGCUUUUGUGAAGAACAGUUAUCCUGACGGGACACUUUAGAGAACGUCUUUAAAGUUGGAGAAAACUUGGAAAAUGGCCCAUUAGAGGUCACCUCGACAGCUCCACAAAUCCAUAUCUUAUGUCUUUAAAAUACACAAGCUCCUUAAAACCAGGAACUUUACAGGAGCCCCUGGGCCCUAUGUAUCCACCUGUAUGGUCAACAUGUCUGCCUGUCUCUUGGACUUAGUGGUGACCUCUACAUAAAGUUUGUUUUGAGAAUGUGAGGUUUGACCCUUUGGAUACAUCUGGAACAGGAAAGACCUGAGGGAUUCCUGCAGUGAUGUAGAAAUAAGGAGGUGUGGGGGUGAGGGCGCUAAGGUGUUCCCCAGAUGAUGAGCAUGUCAGUGCAGGGCGCGUGGUAUUCUAUGCAUGGUAGAUUAUUGGUAUUCUCAUGAUUCCAAUUAUCAUUCCACAUCGUCUCAAAAGACAUGGUAUAAAUUAAAAUACCCGAGGACAGCUGUUUGUAUUCCCCUUAUGAGGAUUACUGAGCCUCUUCUGGGAGACGCUCCUUCUUCUAACUCAGGUGUGUUAACCUGACAGAUGUUAGCCUUCAUUCUGGCUGGCAACUGGGCAAAAUGUAGCGUCACCCAGGCAAAGGGAACCUCAAUGGAAGAAUUGCCCAGAUCAGACUGGGUCACAAGGCUUCUUCCUUUCCUUUAAUAAUAAUAAAAAUGUUUAUGGAUGUUUUACCUGCAUGAAUGAGUGCCUGGUGCUUGUGCAAGCCAAAAGAGGACAUUGGUUAUCCUGGAACUAGAGUCACAGAUAGUUAGAAUUUGGGUGCUGGGAAUUGAACCUGGAUCUCUGGAGAAAACACCAGUGCCUUUAAUCACUGAGCCAUCUCUCUAGCCCUUGGGAAGCAUUUUCCUAACUGCUAAUUGAUGUGGGAGGGCUGUCCAGCCCACUGUAUGUGGUGCCAUCCCUAGGCAGGUAUGCCUCAGCUGUAUACAACUGGUAUCUGUGCAAGCUAUGAGGAGAAAGACAAUACGCAGAAUCCCUCCAUGGUUUCUGCUUCACUUCUGCCUCAAAUCCCUUUGAUGAUGGACAUAACCUUUUAAAAAUAUUUUCUUUUCUUUAUUUUAUAUUAUGGGUAUGAUUGGGUGCCUGACUGGUGUCCAAAAAAGUCAAAAGAAGACAUCAAAUCCUCUGGAACUGGAAUCACAAACAGUUGUGAGCUGCCUUGUGGGUUGUGGGAAGUGAACCAGAAUUUCCUGAAAGAACAGUGGGCAGUGCAGUGCUCUUUAAUUUCUGAGCCAUCUCCCUAGCUCUGGAUUUUAAACUGAGAUAAACCUUCCCUCCUCUGGUCAUCUUUUUUUGUUUGUUUUUUGUUUGUUUGUUUGUUUUAUUAAAGUGUGUGUGUGUAUGCCUGAAUAUUAUGUGUGUAUAUGUGAAUAAAUGUGUAGAUACACAUUGUCCUUUCUGUCUGUCUGUCUUUCAGUUUUUCUCUCCGGACAUUUGUCUAUCCAUCCACCCACCCAUCCAUCCAUUUGUGUCUCUGUCCAUCAGUCUCUUCUUCUAAGUAUCUGUCUGUCUGUCUAAGCAUCUAUCUAUCCAUCCAUCCAUCCAUCCAGUCAGUCAUCAUGUCCUUCUGUACAUCUACUUCUACCCAUCCUGUCCUUCCUUCCUUCCUCCCCCUCCCUCCCUCCCCCUCCCUCCCCUCUCCCUCCCUUCCUUCCUUCUUUCCUUCUUUCCUUCUUUCCUUCUUUCCUUCCUUCCUUCCUUCCUUCCUUCCUUCCUUCCUUCCUUCCUUCCUUCAAUUCACCAUCUGUCUCUCUGUGCAUCCAUCUCUACACAUCCUGUUCAUCUGUCCAUCCAUCCAUCCAUUUACUCUUUCAUCCAUCCAUCCAACUAUUUUGCUUGUUCACAACUUGUCUGGCACUGUUGAGUUUUAUGCAGUUCAUACAUGUGCCCCUAUCAACACAAAAGUCACAUAUGAGAGACAUGGAUUAGGCUAUACUUUGUCAGUAUUUCCUCUUGGAUGGAUGGGAAGCUACUCUUGGAACACCCAAUUUCCAUCUCCAUGGUGUUCUAAGCCUGAAGAACACCUUUAUUGAAAUUUAUGUCCUGGAAUAAGGGGGCAUCAGUGAGUAUUCAGCUUUGAAUACACACAGGCUUCUUUUGUCCUAUGUCUUCCUCUGGCUGCCUUCUGAAGGUAGUGGCAACCAGAUUCAAUCACACCUCUACACUUCUCAGAAGACCCAAUAACUCAAAUACCAUUACGGCUUGGGUCUCUUUAAAUCAUGAACAUUCAAAGGACCUUUGAGGCCAUGUUUCCAAGUCUUUUAUCUUAAAUGUAGAGAAGCCGAAGCCCAGUGAUGAAGGGGGUAAUUGAGCCUUAUCUCCUGACUGUGCUUAGUCUGGUUUGGGAGAAAUCAAUGAACUAAAGGGUCUACACAGAAUUAUAAAUUGUAAUUGAAGGAAAUUACUGGAAGCCAUGACAUCUAUACCAGAGGCAGGACAGCUGGGGCUUCUAGAAGUGCUGCCCCAGGGGCAGAUGCUUGAAGCCUGACUGACAGGGUAGACUAGAGUCAAAAAGGCAAAGGAAGCAUGGUGGUGGGUGGCAGCAACCUUCCAGAGAAAGGAGUCCAAAGAUUGUGGUGCCUGUGGCACAGAAGAGACUUGCUUCGCCAGAUUGCUGGUGUAAGACUUUAAAUUUUCAGAAUGACAAGUCAGACAUCUCCUUUCUUAGUAACCCUAGGGUCCAUUCACAUCUACUUCAUCUCUUCUGAAACAGGCUGUCAUCAAUUGCAUUACUCACACAAAGCAGGAUGGCUAUUAUCUGAGCUGCCACCAGCUUGGGACACAGACACUGUAGAUUCAUGUGAGUGGAACAUAAUGAAACUUAAAGAAAGACUUUAGAGAAAUUUAUGCUUGCUGUUAAACUUAGGCAUUCCCCCCAAACUCAUGCGAGACAAAUGAUUGUUUAGCUUGAACAGUAAUAUAUUGCUACAGUUGGGGUGUGGAGGUAAGAAGGUCUUAUGGGAUGUGUGUUAUUUGGAAAUGUGUGGAAGGAUGUCUUUUCCUCUGGGUUAGAUACAUAGGACAUUCUGGAACUGUGAUACUGAGCUGGAUAAAGUGACACAGGUAUUAGGGAAAAUGCCACUGCUCUCUGCCUGUUCAGAUUCAUUCAUGUUUUUACAUGUCUAUGACAUUCAUAUAUGCUCUUCCUACUCGGUCCUGGCCACUCAUUUAAGGACCAGUAAAUAGUAAGAAAGAUCCAUUUUGUUGAUAACUGCCUUCCUCAGAGAUGGACAGGAGUGGGGCUCUGCAUCCGGAGCCACAGCGCCAGAGGAUGUGGUGGGAUGAGUGUGCUUAUUUCUUUCAUUUAUAGCUUGUGUCUAUCUCCUCCAUAGUCUCUUUGCCUUUUUAAAAAGAACCACAGACUGUGAAAGCAGGAAGAAGCCUUGGAAAUGAUGUGAUGUGACCUUUUCAUUCUCCAAAUGGGAAAACAAUUCCAGCAGAAUUGUGUGUGGCUUGCCUAGAGGCGUACGUCAGACGAGGACUGGAGAGGCUAAAUAAGCCUGUAACAGUUUACUGCACGAACCGCUUCCCUAAGUGAAUACAAAAUUGUCAUUGUGAGGACUCACACCUAUGAAUUUGAGUACAGCAUACAGCCGGAAGUAUACAGAUUCACGCCUACAUUCCUCAAAAAAAAAAAAAAACCCACAGAUUUUCUCAAGUAAUUUAGAAGCAGAGAAAAUGAAAAACAAGUAUUUAUCAUCACAAGCUUAGAGAAGGAGCCUCUAAUUGUAAGGUGCAAGGGAAACAGAGUGAUUUCCCCAGAAACUCACCUGUCUCUUAAUCACCUCUACUGCUCUAACUUAUGAGUUCUGUGUACUUUGCAUCCCUCAGUAUCCCUACCUACCAUAAAACUGGCUUCAAGAUAUCUAUAUCUAUACCUCUAUCUAUCUAUCUAUCUAUCUAUCUAUCUAUCUAUCUAUCUAUCUAUCUAUCUAUCUACACACACACAGAGAGAGAGAGAGAGAGAGAGAGAGAGAGAGAGAGAAUUUAACUUGCUAUUUCAAUCAAUUGACCAAUACAGCCACAAAGAAAUAUCUGCCUUCACUGCUGUAUACCUGUCUCAGAUCAUACAGCAGGAAGAGUUCACGAUAUCCUCCAGACUUUGGUUCAGAGAAAAACUUGAACACAGGCAGUAAAGUGGAGCAGGGGCAGCAAAGAGGCAGCAGGUUGUAGAAGCACCCCCCCCCCCCCCAGAAUGUGAUUCUCUAAGCCCAGAUCACAUGCACACAUUUAAAGUGAGGUUUCUCCUCAAUUCUCUCACACAUCGAUGCCCCUAAGAAGCUGUCUCACACCUUCUUAGAAACACAGGUGGAAAAACAUGGAAAGAAUAAGGAACACCAGGUAAAGAAAGUGAUAGAGCUGUGAUUUUACUAUGUUUAAGUGGUGGCAAUUCCCACCUGUUCAAACGGAGACCAAGCUGAUUUUACCUGUGAGAUAAAUCUUGAGUUCAUGUGUGGAAUUUUCAUAUGCAACUAUUUUACAUACAUAUAAACUCUUGUUUCUUAAUUUCCCACUUAACGCUAUCCUCUGUGCCCCUCCCUGAUUCUAUCUUCCCACCACGCUAAGUCUUUCUUUGAAUUCAGAAUGGACGAGAAAGGUGGGAUGCUGCCCCAAACCAUUCCCUCGAUACUCACCCUGAGCCCCAUGAGAUAGUAGAGGACGCUGAUGAGGGUCAUCGGGAGGAUGUAGAAGAGGAAGGAGGUAGCUUGGAUGAUGAAGUUAUACACCCAUAUGGGUUUGGUGACUGUGCAGGUGGCAGAGCCGGGCACAGAGGACCCGUUGGGAAACUGCUGGAACUUGAUGCCAUGGAUGCUGGUGUUGGGCAAAGAAAAGACCACAGAGAAGCUCCAGACUAGGCUGAGGAUCCUGAGGGCCCGUCGCCGUGUGCUCUCCAGCUUGGCUCGGAACGGAUGGACAAUGGCCACGUAGCGCUCAAUGCUAACCGUGGUGACACUGAGAAUGGAGGCAAAGCACACAGUCUCGAAAAGGGCUGUCUUGAAGUAGCAUCCCACCGGCCCAAACAGGAAGGGAUAAUUGUGCCACAACUCGUAGACCUCCAGUGGCAUACCUAAGAGCAGGACCAGCAAGUCUGAGACUGCCAAGCUGAAGAGAUAGUAGUUGGUGGGUGUCUUCAAAGUUUGAUGUCGGGCAAUCACCAGGCACACCAGAAGAUUGCCUAUCACCCCCACCACGAAGAUCAGCGCAUAGACCACAGACACUGGAAGGGAUAGGUCACUGCGCUUGGGUCCACACAGAACACACAAUGGAAGCAACUUGCAUGAAGAACUUGUGGGGCUGGUGAGAUGGCUCAGGACUAAAGCUUUCCACAAAGUCUGGCCACUGGAGUUCAAUCCCUGAGACUUACAGACGGUCGUGGUUGUUAAUACGGAGACUCACAACUCGGCAAAGUGCAGAGGAGAAGCAACUGUGAACGUUUAGCUGUACACGAAACAUCUGUGUUUCCUCUCUGAGCUCAAGGAACUUCAUGGAAGAAGAGAUGGAAAGAAUACUGAAUCCUCCAUAUGCCUGGCACCAGACUAGGACUGCUGGGACAUCCAGCCCCAGUGAACUGAACAAACAACUGCUGGAUUCCUGGGUAUCAGCUACUGUACACAGAAGAGACACAUUAGUCCUGUACCUCACAAGACACGGAUUCUCAGCUGUGUUACCAACGAGCAGGCUUUACAUGGGAUCCUCCCACAGUAAAUAAUGAAGAUGCUGUUUCCUGGGUCUCCUCAAAGCCUUCAGAUUCAGAAUCUCUGACAGCAGACCCUCAUGGCUUCCACUUUCCCAAAUGGUCCUCACAUGUCUUAAAGAACCACUCAAUAAUUCAGAUGCCAUUAUAUAGAUGCAGUUUUCAGAAAAUGCAUUGCCCUUCUCUAACUAUCCUGGACUUCAUUGUUCUGCACUUCAAAAUCAAAAUCUCUUUUAUAAAACUACCUCUGCAGGAGCCUUUGACCAUACUGAACUAUCAAAAGAGCACAUGGAUGAAGGGCAAGCAGCCACCUGACCGGAAAAUCUGCCCUUCAUUUUAGACCUGACUCACCAACCUUUUAAGGAAACCCUGUAAUGCUGUUGAGUGUGUGUAAUGACCGGAUGGGGAUUCAGGCAGGAAGCUUGUCAUACCUUGAUGAACAAUGAAAGAAAGCACUCUGCGGGUCACAGACAGGAAGAUGAAGAUAGCCCAAUGUUUGGGACAAUGCAAACCUGGUACAUUGGUGAUUGAAGUGUCUAGUUUGCACAGAUAGAGCAGUGAGCCUGUGCCUUAUCAUCCUUUGAGUAGAGCUGUAUAAUCAUUCCUGCUGUUGUACGUGGAUGCCCCCCUAUGUAUCUUUGUGCUUCCAAGAUGUGGCAGCCAGCUUGGGAUAAAUAAUCUUCUUAGUCUAAGUAGAGGGAUAAGGAGGCACUGGCUCAGGUGAUGAUGUGAGACCUGCUAGAUGUCAUGGCUCUAAGUGCAUAGGUUAUGGCCACUGUGCUCUAGCCCAGCCCUGGUCUACCUUCUGAUUAUUUCUUUUAUUUUGCUUUUAUUUAUGUUUGUAUAGGGUGUGUGUAGUGCCCAUUGAGGCCAGAAAAGGCACUGGAUUCUUCCCAGAGCUGAAAUUGCAGGCAGUUGUGACCUAUCACAUGGAUUCUGGGCACCAAACUCAGGUUCUCUGUGUUAGUAUCCAGUGUUCUUAAACUGCUAAGCUAUCUCUCCAGUGACCAUCUUACCCCUACCCCAUAUUCCCUUAGAGAACAGCUCAUUCCAGAAUUUGCCUGAAUUUUGUUCUGUAUCCUUUGAGUAGACAGACUGUGAAGACCCAGAGUGUGUUUUUUUUUUUUUUUUUUUUUGGCCUGGCCAGUCUGACUAUGGCUGUGUCUUUGAGGCCUACUUUCACAUUCUGUACUGUUUUGUUUUUCCAAUUUUCACAAAACAAAUUAGGUUUCUCUUUGAACGGGUGCAGGAAUAGAAGCAGGAGGCCUAUAAAAUAGCUUGGAUUUAUGGCCCAUCUCAGAGGCGACUUUUUUUUUUUUCCAUCUCACCUAGGCUGAAAUUACUGCAGUCUGUUCACUGCAGCUCUUUGGAACUUAUUCUCCAUUUAGACUGCGUCCUUGUAAAACUAGGAUACAGAAUGACACUGCAGUUUCUGAGGAACAGUCUGGAAGCCUACGCUGCGCCUGGCUUAUGCACAAAUUCAAAUAGGUUUGUUACAAAGCUACUUCUAUGAAGAUGCUCGUUUUCCAACCCCUGAGAUCUGCCAUUAGCUCUGCACAGCAUAUACCGCCCGAGGGGUCCCAGGAGACCUCCAUGAUGCUUUUAAUGAUACUUUCAGGGCAUUUAAAAGUGAAAUAUAAAAGGAAAGUGGUUAUGCUGAGAUAACCUGGAUUUUAGCUCAGACUCUGUUUAUUUCAUCAGGACUAGAUUAAAGCUCUCUGGCCUCAGACUUUCUCAACUGUCGGGUGGGAGGGGAGACCUCCAGGUGUGUUUUUGAAACAAUGUUGCUUAGAAUACAAGUGAAAUAUCUAAAAGUAACUAUACCCGUAGGCAGCAGUGGCAACAUUGUUAAUAUGCUGGCCAUCUGUUCCCCUGAUUUUGGGAUCAAAGUACUCUAGGAAUUCUGUAGGUAUGGUCCUGAAUCCAGAGCAGAAUGUAUUGAAAAGCUUAUUGUUUGGUAAUAGAUCAAGGGAACAAGCAUGGAAGAGGCACCGUGAAACUGCAUAGGAACACUGUGCCUCUGACUUUGGGGGAGUCCUUGGACAUGCUGCUCUCUGGGCUCUCUGGUCUGCAAGCCAUGCCUUCCAUGUCUGUGGUCUCCCUGAAGGACACACACACACAUAAAUACACACACAAAUACACACACACACACACACACACACACACAAAUACACACACAAAUACACACACACACACCACUCAUACACACACACACACACACACACACCACUCAUACACACACACACACACACACUUACACACACACCACACACUUGCAUAAACAUCAGACACUCCUCACACACUCACACACAAAUAGUUCUUACACAAUACAUUACUCUCACACACACAUACACACACACCACUAACAUACAUACACCAGUCACAUAGACACCUACCACACACUCGCAUAGGCACCACGCACCACUCACACACACAUACAUAUACCCACCAUAUGCACACACAUUUACACACCACACACACAUACAUAUCCCCACACACAUACACACACAUACCACUCACACAUACCACUAAUACACACAUCACUCAUAUACAUGCACAUACAUACAUACCACAUACUCACAUACACAAUACACAUACACAGGCACACAUGCAAGCACACCACACACUCACAUAACACACUCACACACAUAUACUAUACAUAGUCACACAUACCACAUAUAGUCACACAUGUGUACACACUGACACAUGCUCUCACACACAUAUUCACACACAUAUACGUAUAUUCACACAUAUAAACAUUCACACAACACAGGCAGUUGCAACAGAGAUCUAAUGUCCUAACUGUUCUUUGCUUUUUGGUAGCACUUGGUAGAAUCUUAGAACAUCAUAAAAGAACAGCUCUGUACAAAUAUGGCCACAUGGGACCAUGUGACCUAGGUUUGAGUGACCCAUCCUUGGCUCUACUUCCUUUUCUUACCGUAAAACCCUCUCAUCCUCUCCCUUAAGUCGAAGCUCUUCUUCUUUCUCCCUUUCAUGGUACAGUUCAUGCCCCAGUGCACAUGAAGCUCAUAGGAAGAGGAGAUUCUUGCUUCCCAUCCUUUGUAAGUACCAGCCAUAAGGAUGCUCCACAAGGGCAGAUCAUCAUCAAACACCAAGUGGGCUAAUCAGUAAGUUAUCUACAAGUUAUGCUAUGGGAAACAAACACUAAGCCCCACAGAUAAGCAGGUAGAGGCAAAAAUAACUGUAAUAUAAUAGAUCAACAGUAGCUUUAGUUUAGAGUACAUUUCUAAAGGUAACAGAAAAGGAAACAAACAGAAGGGUUCUCAACGGAACAAAUGGCUGCUUUUAUUUAAACCCCAACUACUAUAAAGUCGGUAAUCUGAAAAGGAGAAAACCAACUUCACAGAAAGAAAUCAAGGAAACUCGGAUGCCAGAACUUUCCGGUCAGGAGACAUGCCUGUUAAAGAUCAGUCAGAGGUGCUCAGUCCCAAGCUGGAAUGCUCAGAGAAUUAGAAUCAUAUACCCAGACUCCUGUUAGAAAGCUGAAAUC
This is a long non-coding RNA of Mus musculus (house mouse), 13169 nucleotides long. RefSeq annotates it as predicted gene 12239. Lineage: Eukaryota; Metazoa; Chordata; Mammalia; Rodentia; Muridae. The transcript is spliced from 8 exons. The record is from RefSeq and is a predicted model, not a curated record.